This 1997-nucleotide unclassified non-coding RNA is filed under the name Hevea brasiliensis (rubber tree). The record is from RNAcentral. Lineage: Eukaryota; Viridiplantae; Streptophyta; Magnoliopsida; Malpighiales; Euphorbiaceae.
CAGGUUGUUUUCACUUCCAGCAGUUGUCAAUUAGGAUUAGCAUACAUAAAAUUACUUGUACAAUUAUAAGCUUCUACCCUACCAUCAAGCUCUGAACCGCUUCAAGAUGCAUCCAGUUCUAUUUUGCAGCAGAACAUAUUUACAUCCAAUUUGCUUUUGAUCACCAGUCAGGUGAGGAAGAUACCUGCAGUGGGUGACCUUAUUGCUGAGUUCAUACACAGCCUCAGUCACGAGUACAUUCUUCAGUACUGCUUCAUUUGACAUUAGAGAAACAAUUGGUGACACAGAUUUGCACCCGUGAGACUUCAUUUUAAUAAGCAAUCAUAUUUUCUAACAUAUUUUUCAUGUAUUGUUUACAUUUAAGACUCCAAAGUUAGGGAAGCCUGAAGGAAGGCAUACAAAACCCCAUCUGAUGUUUUUAUACAAUACCUAGUAAGAAAAAAAAAAUUGAAAUGCUAUCUUCAUCCAACAGGGGAUUGAGAACAAUAAAUGAAUGCUUCCAUGGGAUAGCAUGAGUCAUUUUUCAUCACUUUCUAGAAUUGCAACUGUAAAAAUCAAAGCUGCAAAUUCCAGGUCUUCAAUAAAUUUUUUUUUUCAGCCUUGUUCCCUUGUGUGUAUAUUUUCCAUGAUCAGCAUUGCCUGGAAUGAAAGAUGAUGCAGCAGGUGAAAAUGAGAAAUCAUCUACCUUGACCUGUUUUGUCCUUCAAAGGCCGAAAAGAUUUGAACCAUUGCUUCCAAGGAGCAUCUUCUUGUUGCUCAAUCCAUGACAAGAAACAACUAUCCAACAAACAAAAGAAGUUGACAUAUAACAACUGAUAUCUCACCGGUACAAAUCUGAAAUUUGCAGCUUGAACAACUGGCCAUACGCCUCCUUCCAAAAUCAGAGCUGGGAGAUAAUCCCUCUUCAGGUCUUCCUUUAUUUGAGGAACACUCUUUCCAGUAGAAAAACCCAUAUAUGUGAAAAAUAUAAGUAAAUCCAGUGGCCCAAACAGGAAACCAUCAAUUGCUACUUUAGUAGUAACAAAUCGAAAGGAAUUUGGACGCAGUAGAAGUCGAAACCUUAAAAAUUGGUCUAACCCUUCAUACCUAAGAAUGAUGAACGAGAAACAAAUGAGUGAAAUAUAUUUUAUACACAACACCAGCAAAGUUCAACCCUCCACUCAUUGGUAUGAUGCUCCAUAAAUUAAAAAUCUCUUGAAGCUAUCAGAGCCCUAGGAUCGACGACUUUGAGAAGAAUACUUUCAGUUCUCUUUUUCCCUUUUCACUUUUGACUAAUGAAUUGCAUGCUUAAUAGUCUUCACAAGUGCAAGGUACCCACUAAAAUUGGAGAUACCUGAACCCGUAUAGUAUAUACUACCUGAAUCUAUCCUCUAUACAAGUAUUAUAUCUUAAACUCAAGCCUAUCCUAAUAAGAUUUAGUCAGGGUCAAGAACUCUAAAAAAUCCACACAAAUGUGCUAAAGAAAGCAAGAGGAGAACUCACCAGAAGUGGCCGACUGGUCCAACAAAUCCAAAUCCAAACAAGCUUGUGGUUGCUACUCGUUUCCAAUUGAUCUUUAAUCCUUUUUCUUUGUCUUGUAACUCCUUUUGACAUUGCUUCUUCUUGGCAGUGUAUUUGGUGAUGGACUGGGCAGCUAUAUCGCCAAAACCCCAAAUAAAGCCUGAGCUAAUCACCUGCGUCUUAACUGGAUGCACCGCCAAGCAAUUCUGGUACCAUUUCCACAGCUUUAACAUGUCACCAGUAUAUAAUUAAAAAAGCUAGAAAAGAGAGAUUCUAGAUGCAGAAAAGGAAUCUAGACAAGGGAUUCAUCUUGGAUUCUUGGUGAAGGGAGGAACAUUUAGAAAGGUGUAUUUUUUUUUCUUUUUAAUCCAAUCUUUAAUUAAGUAACCUGUUUGAGAGUUUUUCGUUUCAAUCCCAUGGCUUCCGGGAAUUCUUUUUCCCAGGAAAGACUUAUUUUCCGGGAACUUCGUCUUCGGGACGGAAAAGAAGGACCAGUU